CAGCAGCCGCGGUAAUACCGGCGGCCCGAGUGGCGGUUACUAUUUUUUGGCUUAAAGCGUCCGUAGCCGGGUUGGGAAGUCCUCCGGGAAAUCUGGCCGCUUAACGGUCAGAAUGCCGGAGGAUACUCCCAGCCUAGGGAGCGGGCGAGGCCGAGGGUAUUCCCGGAGUAGGGGUGAAAUCCUAUAAUCCCGGGAGGACCACCUGUGGCGAAGGCGCUCGGCUGGAACGCGUCCGACGGUGAGGGACGAAGGCCAGGGGAGCAAACCGGAUUAGAUACCCGGGUAGUCCUGGCGGUAAACGAUGCGGACUUUGUGUCGGACAAGCUAUGAGCUUGUCCGGUGCCGGAGGGAAACCGUUAAGUCCGCCGCCUGGGGAGUACGGCCGCAAGGCUGAAACUUAAAGGAAUUGGCGGG
This 414-nucleotide ribosomal RNA is filed under the name uncultured microorganism. Its description in RNAcentral is "bacterial SSU rRNA". It matches the Rfam family "Archaeal small subunit ribosomal RNA", at positions 459 to 872 of the family's 1478-position model. The record is from RNAcentral.